CCUACGGGCGGCAGCAGUGAGGAAUAUUGGUCAAUGGCCGGAAGGCUGAACCAGCCAAGCCGCGUGAAAGACGAAGGUGCCAAGCAUUGUAAACUUCUUUUGUCAAGGGACAAAAUCAGGCUCGAGAGCCUGACCGAGGGUACUUGAAGAAAAAGCAUCGGCUAACUCCGUGCCAGCAGCCGCGGUAAUACGGAGGAUGCGAGCGUUCUCCGGCUUUAGUGGGGUUAAAGGGUGCGUAGGCGGACUGUUAAGGCGGCGGUAAAAGCCAGGGGCGCAACCCCGGCGAGCCGUUGAAACUGGCUGUCUUGAGAUGUAGAGAGGUAUGCGGAAUGCGCAGUGUAGCGGUGAAAUGC
RNAcentral lists this ribosomal RNA (353 nucleotides) under uncultured bacterium. RNAcentral's name for it is "partial 16S ribosomal RNA". It matches the Rfam family "Bacterial small subunit ribosomal RNA", at positions 338 to 689 of the family's 1533-position model. The record is from RNAcentral.